Molecule: long non-coding RNA, 602 nt
Filed under: Triticum aestivum (bread wheat)
Lineage: Eukaryota; Viridiplantae; Streptophyta; Magnoliopsida; Poales; Poaceae
Description: long non-coding RNA (TAES_LNC003763)
Source: RNAcentral
CAUGGUAUCAUAUGAUUUGAAGUCGAAAAAUUCAUGCUAUGGGUGAUAUGGAAAAGUCAUUGCCUUCUUUGCUGGAACAUUUCCUAAGAUGAUCUAAGGUAAUUAUUUUAGUCACGAUGUCAUUUAUAUGCUAAAUUCAGUGCAUUGACAACUAGAGAUCGCUUUCUUUUUGUGUAUUGAUCAUUUUAGUACAAUUGUUUGAUACACUGCCGACAUCAUUUUUUCUCUUCUUGCUUGUUAUUUCAUUUAUUUCCUCCAGCAAGUGGAUGGCUAUUUCCACUGCUUCAGGUUUUGUUUUGGCUCUAAUUGUGUGUAUGUCAUCUUGGCCUUCUUAGGUGAAGCAGUUAUGAAUAUCCUCGCUGAUCUAGGGCUCUAUAAUUGUAAGAGUCGAUGAUAUAUGGUGAGCUGCCUCACACCAUCAUUUGGUCUUUGUAGCAUUUGAGUUGGCAAAUUUGUUGGAUUCAUGCGAUUAGGCAUGGUAAGUGCUCAGAGACCCAUAGCUCUAUAAUUGUUUGCUUCCAAAAGUUCUGAAUCUUUUCUGCGCUUGGUCCUCUCAUUGGUGAGAGUAGCCAUGAUCAAUCUGCUAUGGGAAAUGGGAGUUU